GCUGGGCAUGGUGGUGCAUGCCUGUAGUCCAAGCUACUUGGGUGGCUGAGGUGAGAGGAUCACUUGAGCCUGGGAGGUCAAGGCUGCAGUGAGCUGUGAGGUGCCACUGCACUCCAGCCUGGGUGAACGAGUGAGACCUUAUCUCUU
This 147-nucleotide non-coding RNA is filed under the name Nomascus leucogenys (northern white-cheeked gibbon). The record is from Rfam by way of RNAcentral. Lineage: Eukaryota; Metazoa; Chordata; Mammalia; Primates; Hylobatidae.